Molecule: long non-coding RNA, 853 nt
Organism: Carassius carassius (crucian carp)
Lineage: Eukaryota; Metazoa; Chordata; Actinopteri; Cypriniformes; Cyprinidae
Exons: 4
Source: RefSeq, a predicted model, not a curated record
ACGUAGUGAAUAAUGAAAGGACACAAUCGUUUUGUGUGUGUAUGCCUUUAGCAUUUGUUGUAUAAUGUUAAAAAGGUCAUAUGAGGAGGUUGUUUUCAUAUUUAAUUUUUCAUUCACUUGCAGGGAUAGGAUUGGCAUGGAAGAUGCAGAACUCUUUACAUUUUAAAUAUCAAAUGUAUAUCAAGUGUUAUCCAUGCUCAUAACACCUCCACAAAUAGAGACUGGAUCUUCUGGCACCAUCAUCUUGUCUGCUUUGGGACUGUCAUAGCCCAGCAAUCAGAUGCAUCAGAACAACAAAGCACAACUGUGGUGGCCCAGGAACCUUCAGCAACAAGUACAUUGCUUUAACAUUAAUGAUAAUGCAAUGUCAGUAUUGUAAUUAAACUUGACCCAUCUGACGUAAUUGUUCAUGCCAGAGAUUUAACAACAUUGUCAGUCAGGAGCAUAUUUAACUAACAGGAGGCACACUUCAGCUGGCUUGAUAGUGACUUCAGUGCAGUGAAGAUAUUUAAAGAGACACUAUCACAUAAAGUACAGAAAGCCUUACAUCAUCUCUAGGUGCAGUCGCCUACAGUGCAGCCAGCUUCACAAAGACUGUGGGGCUGGUCACCAGGGAAAUGGACAAUAGGGAGUGCUUUUGGGGUUUACUCCGAAGAUGACCACCCUGGCUACUGUAGCUGGGAUUGCUUCACUGAAGAUGGAGGUCUUGAAGAGUAAAGUGUGUGUGCGUGCACACACAUUGUGUAUUUACUGUAACAAUUAUGGUCACUUGCAGUUCAUGUGUUUUCAGUGUAGUCUAAGAUGUGUUUAUUAUUAUUACUCAAAAACAAUUAAAACUGCUAAAUUGUGGAAA